RNAcentral lists this ribosomal RNA (519 nucleotides) under Triticum aestivum (bread wheat). Its description in RNAcentral is "partial small subunit ribosomal RNA". Lineage: Eukaryota; Viridiplantae; Streptophyta; Magnoliopsida; Poales; Poaceae. The record is from RNAcentral.
AUGGGUGCUACUGCCUUCCUCUACCUCCUGCUGUCCCUCUGGGUUCAGGACGCAACUGCCGCUGAUCUUGGCUUCACAAGAAGCGAUUUCCCACGGGAAUUCGUCUUUGGAGCUGGAACCUCCGCAUAUCAAUAUGAGGGUGCUGUUGCUGAGGAUGGCAGGAGUCCGAGCGGUUGGGACACUUUCACUCACGCAGGCAAAAUGCCAGACAAAAGCACGGCAGAUGUUGCUGCAGAUGGGUACCACAAAUACAUGGACGAUGUCAAGCUCAUGUCUGAGACAGGCCUAGAGGCCUAUAGGUUCUCCAUCUCCUGGUCAAGGCUCAUUCCAAAUGGACGCGGAGCUGUCAAUCCUAAAGGGCUAGAGUAUUACAACAACCUCAUUGAUGAGCUAAUGAAUCAUGGAAUUCAAGUACACAUCACACUUCACCAUGUAGAUCUCCCUCAAAUUCUCGAAGACCAAUAUGGUGGAUGGUUAAGCCCCAAAAUUGUAUGUUUGCUUCAGGGAGUUUGGAAAUAG